RNAcentral lists this long non-coding RNA (206 nucleotides) under Brassica rapa (field mustard). Its description in RNAcentral is "long non-coding RNA (BRAP_LNC004262)". The record is from RNAcentral. Lineage: Eukaryota; Viridiplantae; Streptophyta; Magnoliopsida; Brassicales; Brassicaceae.
UUUUUUUUUUGACAUCAGGAAUCAACUAUCUUCCAAUAUAUAAAAAGCUGUCGACUAUCUUUAGUUACAAAACAUACAAAGUCCAAUAAAUAGAACUUAUGUCGUUUGAAAACAGUAAUAUUGAUACUAUACUUUCAAUAAUAUUAUUUUUCACUAACAAAAUUAAUGGAAAUGAACUAUAUAUGUGGUCAGUAGUUUAAUUAAUC